ACAAUGGAUGUGACAAUGGGAUGCGACACCGAAAGGUGAAGCUAAUCCCCAAACCCAGUCUCAGUUCAGAUCGAGGGCUGCAACUCGCCCUCGUGAAGCCGAAAUCCCUAGUAGUCGCUGGUUAGCAA
This 128-nucleotide ribosomal RNA is filed under the name Candidatus Zixiibacteriota bacterium. RNAcentral describes it as "partial 16S ribosomal RNA". It matches the Rfam family "Bacterial small subunit ribosomal RNA", at positions 1227 to 1355 of the family's 1533-position model. The record is from RNAcentral. Lineage: Bacteria; Pseudomonadati; Candidatus Zixiibacteriota.